Molecule: unclassified non-coding RNA, 391 nt
Filed under: soil metagenome
Description: partial contains 5.8S ribosomal RNA, internal transcribed spacer 2, and large subunit ribosomal RNA
Rfam family: 5.8S ribosomal RNA (bases 1-122)
Source: RNAcentral
GAUGAAGAACGUAGCGAAAUGCGAUAAGUAAUGUGAAUUGCAGAAUUCAGUGAAUCAUCGAGUCUUUGAACGCAAGUUGCGCCCGAAGCCAUUAGGCCGAGGGCACGCCUGCCUGGGCGUCACACGUCGUUGCCCCCCCAUCUACUCCUUCGGGAUUGCGAGGGGCGGAUGAUGGCCUCCCGUGCGCCUCGUCGCGCGGUUGGCAUAAAUGCCAAGUCCUCGGCGACGCACGCCACGACAAUCGGUGGUUGCGAAACCUCGGUUGCCCGUCGUGUGCGGUCGUCGCGCAUCGAGGGCUCGAAAAAAUUGCCGGGCUCCGGCUCGGCUUUCAACGCGACCCCAGGUCAGGCGGGGUUACCCGCUGAAUUUAAGCAUAUCAAUAAGCGGAGGA